Antechinus flavipes (yellow-footed antechinus) is the source of this 444-nucleotide long non-coding RNA. RefSeq lists it as uncharacterized. The transcript has 3 exons. Lineage: Eukaryota; Metazoa; Chordata; Mammalia; Dasyuromorphia; Dasyuridae. The record is from RefSeq and is a predicted model, not a curated record.
UCCUGGGUCUUAAUCAUCUCAUAUUGCAGAAAAGAAAAGAUGUCCCAGACCCAGAGAAAGAUGUCAGAGGCAGGAUUUAAAUUCUGAAUUUUUGAAUAAUCACUCCACCUUAUUUGUCUCUUAAUUGGACUGACUCUACCCAGGACUUGGGAAUUACAGAUUCUUUUUUGGCUCACCUUCAGUUUAUCGGUCAAUCUUUUUGACUAAUAAAACUUUGGGAAGAUUCUAUUGGCAGGGAGAAGAGGAAAAUAAAAGGGGAAUCCAGGGCUAUUUACCUGGGGAUGCUUCUUGAUCUAGCCUAUUAGCUGAGAACAAAGUCCAGAAAAGGAGGAAGAGAUGAAAAGAGGAUGGUGUGCCCUCCCCAUCUGUUUGUAAGUUAAAUAAGAAAACAUUAAAUGAUUGGUCAGCAGGAAGGCAGUUUUCAGAUAAGACAUGGGUUUGUAU